RNAcentral lists this ribosomal RNA (468 nucleotides) under uncultured bacterium. RNAcentral's name for it is "partial 16S ribosomal RNA". It matches the Rfam family "Bacterial small subunit ribosomal RNA", at positions 28 to 523 of the family's 1533-position model. The record is from RNAcentral.
GAUGAACGCUGGCGGCGUGCCUAACACAUGCAAGUCGAGCGAUUCUCUUCGGAGAAGAGCGGCGGACGGGUGAGUAACGCGUGGGUAACCUGCCCUGUACACACGGAUAACAUACCGAAAGGGAUGCUAAUACGAGAUAAUAUACUUUUAUCGCAUGGUAGGAGUAUCAAAGCUUUUGCGGUACAGGAUGGACCCGCGUCUGAUUAGCGAGUUGGUAAGGUAACGGCUUACCAAGGCGACGAUCAGUAGCCGACCUGAGAGGGUGAUCGGCCACACUGGAACUGAGACACGGUCCAAACUCCUACGGGAGGCAGCAGUGGGGAAUAUUGCACAAUGGGCGAAAGCCUGAUGCAGCAACGCCGCGUGGGCGAUGAAGGCCUUCGGGUCGUAAAGCUCUGUCCUCAAGGAAGAUAAUGACGGUACUUGAGGAGGAAGCCCCGGCUAACUACGUGCCAGCCGCCGCAGUAA